UGAUCAUCCUUUGACAACUCUAGAGAUAGAGCCUUCCCCUUCGGGGGACAAAGUGACAGGUGGUGCAUGGUAGUCGUCAGCUCGUGUCGUGAGAUGUUGGGUUAAGUCCCGCAACGAGCGCAACCCUUAAGCUUAGUUGCCAUCAUUAAGUUGGGCACUCUAAGUUGACUGCCGGUGACAAACCGGAGGAAGGUGGGGAUGACGUCAAAUCAUCAUGCCCCUUAUGAUUUGGGCUACACACGUGCUACAAUGGACAAUACAAAGGGCAGCGAAACCGCGAGGUCAAGCAAAUCCCAUAAAGUUGUUCUCAGUUCGGAUUGUAGUCUGCAACUCGACUACAUGAAGCUGGAAUCGCUAGUAAUCGUAGAUCAGCAUGCUACAAGGGAAUACGUUCCCGGGUCUUGUACACAC
Molecule: ribosomal RNA, 411 nt
Filed under: Staphylococcus aureus
Lineage: Bacteria; Bacillati; Bacillota; Bacilli; Caryophanales; Staphylococcaceae
Description: bacterial SSU rRNA
Rfam family: Bacterial small subunit ribosomal RNA
Source: RNAcentral